UACGUAGGGUGCAGGCGUUAAUCGGAAUUACUGGGCGUAAAGCGUGCGCAGGCGGUCUUUUAAGUCAGAUGUGAAAUCCCCCGGGCUUAACCUGGGAACUGCGUUUGAAACUGGAAGGCUAGAGUGUGGCAGAGGGGGGGUGGAAAUUCCGACGUGUAGCAGUGAAAUGCGUAGAGAUGUGGAGGAACACCGAUGGCGAAGGCAGCCCCCUGGGCUAACACUGACGCUCAUGCACGAAAGCGUGGGGAGCAAACAGG
This 257-nucleotide ribosomal RNA is filed under the name uncultured bacterium. Its description in RNAcentral is "partial 16S ribosomal RNA". It matches the Rfam family "Bacterial small subunit ribosomal RNA", at positions 524 to 776 of the family's 1533-position model. The record is from RNAcentral.